RNAcentral lists this ribosomal RNA (473 nucleotides) under uncultured bacterium. RNAcentral describes it as "bacterial SSU rRNA". It matches the Rfam family "Bacterial small subunit ribosomal RNA", at positions 8 to 507 of the family's 1533-position model. The record is from RNAcentral.
AGAGUUUGAUCCUGGCUCAGGAUGAACGCUGCGGCGUGCCUAACACAUGCAAGUCGUACGAGCUCGAUCUUCGAACGGGUUAGUGGCGCACGGGUGAGUAACACGUAGGUGACUACCCCAGAGUGGGGGAUAACUUCUCGAAAGAGAGGCUAAUACCGCAUACACUCGGUCAUUCAUUUGGCCGAGCAAAGCUCUGGCGCUUUGGGACGGGCCUGCGUCCGAUUAGCUAGUUGGUAGGGUAAUGGCUUACCAAGGCUUUGAUCGGUAGCUGGUCUGAGAGGACGAUCAGCCACACUGGCACUGACACACGGGCCAGACUCCUACGGGAGGCAGCAGUGAGGAAUAUUGGGCAAUGGGCGAAAGCCUGACCCAGCAACGCCGCGUGAGGGAUGAGGGCCUUCGGGUUGUAAACCUCUUUUCUGGGAGAAGAGACAAGGACGGUAUCCCAGGAAUAAGUCUCGGCUAACUACGUG